Molecule: ribosomal RNA, 403 nt
Filed under: uncultured bacterium
Lineage: Bacteria
Description: partial 16S ribosomal RNA
Rfam family: Bacterial small subunit ribosomal RNA
Source: RNAcentral
AUUGAACGCUGGCGGCAGGCCUAACACAUGCAAGUCGAGCGAGCGGCGGACGGGGGAGUAAUGUAUGGGGACUGCACGUUAGAGGGGGAUAACUACUGGAAACGGUGGCUAAUACCGCAUAUUGUCGGAUAAUCCAUAUGGGAUUAGAUAGUAGGUGAGGUAAUGGCUUACCUAGGCGACGAUACCUAGCUGGUCUGAGAGGAUGAUCAGCCACACUGGGACUGAGACACGGCCCAGACUCCUACGGAGGCAGCAGUGGGGAAUAUUGCACAAUGGGCGCAAGCCUGAUGCAGCCAUGCCGCGUGUAUGAAGAAGGCCCUAGGGUUGUAAAGUACUUUCAGUCGGGAGGCGUUACCGACAGAAGAAGCACCGGCUAACUCCGUGCCAGCAGCCGCGGUAAUAC